Long non-coding RNA from Bos taurus (domestic cattle), 472 nucleotides. The record is from Ensembl. NCBI's taxonomy places the organism in Eukaryota, Metazoa, Chordata, Mammalia, Artiodactyla, Bovidae.
GGCUCAUCAUUCUAAAACUGGGUUCUUUAACCAGACUCCAAGAUUAAGCCUGAGGUAUCUGGGCAUCUCUGUGCAUCCCAGACGUUGGUGUUUUUCAUCACUGACAGAUCCCAAAAGUAUGGAGGGGAUUUCAGCAACUCUAUCAGAGCAGCGGUCCUCUGCUUUUGCACGGUUAUAUCUGCUGGUCAUGUCAAUGUUACACACCAGCUCGGGGGAAGCAGGUCACUGGAGCUUUGCUUUCCAUUCCUGUGAUGGUCAACAGAAAAUCUGGACACUUAGAAUAAAUUAAACCCCAGAAAAAUGUUUGCUAAAAUGCUAUUAAAAUGUUAAAUUACAGAAUGAAUGCAUCUUGUCUUAAAGAUUGAAGAAAAUACCCAAACAAUUUUAAAAGACUAUAAAAUGAAAAGUGAACCAAACAUAUACCACCUCUCCUUUCCCUAUCUUGCCACCACCCCUCUUCUCACAAUCACUC